UACGUAGGGUGCAAGCGUUAAUCGGAAUUACUGGGCGUAAAGCGUGCGCAGGCGGCUUUGCAAGACAGAUGUGAAAUCCCCGGGCUUAACCUGGGAACUGCAUUUGUGACUGCAUGGCUGGAGUGCGGCAGAGGGGGAUGGAAUUCCGCGUGUAGCAGUGAAAUGCGUAGAUGUGCGGAGGAACACCGAUGGCGAAGGCAAUCCCCUGGGCCUGCACUGACGCUCAUGCACGAAAGCGUGGGGAGCAAACAGG
RNAcentral lists this ribosomal RNA (253 nucleotides) under uncultured bacterium. Its description in RNAcentral is "partial 16S ribosomal RNA". It matches the Rfam family "Bacterial small subunit ribosomal RNA", at positions 524 to 776 of the family's 1533-position model. The record is from RNAcentral.